This 3169-nucleotide ribosomal RNA is filed under the name Acidobacteriota bacterium. RNAcentral's name for it is "bacterial LSU rRNA". It matches the Rfam family "Bacterial large subunit ribosomal RNA", at positions 1 to 2486 of the family's 2925-position model. The record is from RNAcentral. Lineage: Bacteria; Pseudomonadati; Acidobacteriota.
AGUAAGUUUUAUGAUUAAGCUACUAAGGGCGUACGGUGGAUGCCUUGGCGCCAGAAGGCGAUGAAGGACGUGGCAAGCUGCGAUAAGCUUCGGGGAGCCGCAAGCAGGCUUUGAUCCGAGGAUGUCCGAAUGGGGAAACCCGGCGAGAUGAACUCUCGUUACAGCCCGCUGAAUACAUAGGCGGGUAUGAGCCAACCCAGGGAAGUGAACCAUCUCAGUACCUGGAGGAAAAUAAAUCACAGAGAUUCCGAAAGUAGCGGCGAGCGAAAUCGGAACAGCCCAAACCCCGGUAUUUAUACCGGGGGGUUGUAGGACCGCGUGAGUAGAGUUACCAAUCCGACGGUUAGGUGAACCCGCUGGAAAGCGGGGCCACAGAAGGUGAGAGCCCUGUAACCGAAAACUGAUCGGACUCGAAGCGGGAUCCUGAGUACCACCGGACACGUGUAAUCCGGUGGGAAGCUGGGGAGACCACUCUCCAAGGCUAAAUACUCUCUGGCGACCGAUAGUGAACCAGUACCGUGAGGGAAAGGCGAAAAGCACCCCUGCGAGGGGAGUGAAAUAGAACCUGAAACCGUAUGCCUACAAGCAGUCGGAGGGCCAUGUACGGACUUCGGUCCGUAAAAGCCUGACGGCGUGCCUCUUGCUUAAUGAGCCGGCUAGUUAAUGUCACGUGCGAGGUUAAGCGCAAGCGAGCCGUAGCGAAAGCGAGUCCGAAUAGGGCGCAAGUACGUGGUAUUAGACGCGAAGCGGGAUGAUCUACCCUUGGCCAGGCUGAAGGCCGCUUAACCGCGGCUGGAGGGCCGAACCGGUGUGAGUUGAAAAUCGCUCGGAUGAGCUGAGGGUAGGGGUGAAAGGCUAAUCAAAUUCCGUGAUAGCUCGUUCUCCCCGAAAUGUCUUUAGGGACAGCCUUGUGUGAAUUGCCACGGUGGUAGAGCACUGAAUGGACUAGGGACCAACUCAGGUUACCGAAUCCAAUCAAACUACGAAUGCCGUGGACAACUGCACGGGAGUGAGACUACGAGGGAUAAGCUUCGUGGUCAAAAGGGAAACAGCCCAGAUCGCCAGCUAAGGUCCCUAACUGUAUGCUAAGUGGGAAAGGAAGUGUAUUCGCUCGGACAGCCAGGAGGUUGGCUUAGAAGCAGCCAUCCUUUAAAGAAAGCGUAACAGCUCACUGGUCAAGCGGAUAUGCACCAACAAUCCAACGGGGCUCAAGCAUACGACCGAAGCUGCGAAAUGUGCGUUGCGCAAGCAGCGCACUUUGGUAGGGGAGCAUUGCGUGGAGUCUGAAGGCAGACCGAGAGGACUGCUGAACACUACACAAGAGACCCUGCCGGCAUAAGUAGCGAUAAACACGAUGAGAACUCGUGUCGCCGAAAGUCUAAGGUUUCCUGAGGAAGGUUAAUCCGCUCAGGGUUAGGCGGGUCCUAAGGUGAGGCCGAAAGGCGUAGCUGAUGGACAACAGGUCAACAUUCCUGUCCCGCCUGGUGACGUUAACACGAUGGGGUGACGCAGAAGGAUAGGGAAGUCGGGUGAUGGAUAUCCCGAUCGGACAGUGCAAGCCGGAUUCCGGAGGAAAAUCCCCGGGGUCAUUCAACGGUGAGGCUGGACGCGAGGUCGUACGACCGCAAAGUUUCCAAUUUCACGCUGCCAGGAAAAACCUCUAAGGAGUCCACCAGGUGCCCGUACCACAAACCGACACAGGUAGACAAGGUGAAUAUCCACAGGCGCUCGAGAGAACGCUCGCUCAGGAACUAGGCACAUUAGCCCCGUAACUUCGGGAGAAGGGGCACCGCUGUAGGGUUGAUAGCCCGAAGCGGUCGCAGUGAAAUGCGCUCUGCAACUGUUUAACAAAAACACAACUCUCUGCAAAGUCGAAUACGACGUAUAGGGGGUGACACCUGCCCGGUGCCGGAAGGUUAAAGCAAGGGCUUAGCGCCGCAAGGUGCGAAGGCUUGAACUGAAGCCCCGGUGAACGGCGGCCGUAACUAUAACGGUCCUAAGGUUAACGAUCGCGCAGCCUUAGUAAAACUGAACCAUAUGCGGGAAACUCCUCGCACAGCAGUCCGGUACUCGCCGCGCUAACACGCGGCAGUCAAAAGCCGGCUGACAUGGGGACAAUCCGCAGGGAAGACUCCAGGAGAAAAAGUAAUGGAGAACCCUCAGAGACUUGACGUUCAGUCGCAUCCUGAGAAGCUACAAGCCCAAUGGGUGGUAGGUUUUGUUGACGGAGAAGGUUGCUUCUACGUUGGCAUUAACCCGCACCCAGAAAUGUCUUGCCAAUACCAAGUGCUCCCCGAAUUCACAGUCGUUCAGCACCGACGUGAUGUUCAACUGCUUCACGCGCUGAAGAAAUUCUUCGGUUGCGGAGUAGUGAGACAAAAUCACGGCGAUCGAAUGGCCUACCGAGUCCGGGGGCUGAAUCACCUCACUGAAAGGAUUGUUCCCUUCUUCGAAAAGCAUCCGCUGAAAUCGAAGAAGCGGGUCGACUUCGCGAGGUUCCGAAAGAUUCUGCACCUGAUGAAUCAGGGAAAACACUUGAAGACGGAAGGCAUUGAAGAAAUACGGGAGAUAGCUUCAGUAAUGAACACAGGCAGCGAAAGAGAAAGUCCGGCUUCUCUGGAAACAGAGUAGGAGAAACCGAGCGAAAUUCCUUGUCGGGUAAGUUCCGACCUGCACGAAUGGUGGAAUGAUAGAGCGACUGUCUUGGCGAACGGCUCGGCGAAUUUGUGGUUCCGGUGAAGACGCCGGAUGCCCGCAUCUAGACGGAAAGACCCCGUGCACCUUAACUGCACUCUGGUCAUGAGUAACGGAAUAGUCUGCGUAGCAUAGGCAGGAGCCUGUGAACCUCUGGUUUCGGCUGGAGGGGAGGCAACAGUGAAAUACUGCCCUGAUUGUUCUGUCGCUCUAACCUACCGCCCGAGACGGGCGGGGAGACACGGCCAGACGGGUAGUUUGACUGGGGCGGUCGCCUCCUAAACAGUAACGGAGGCGCCCAAAGAUCGGCUCAAGCGGAUUGGAAACCCGCUGUGGAGUGCAAGAGCAGAAGCCGGUUUGACUGUGAGACUUACAAGUCGAGCAGGGACGAAAGUCGGGUCUAGUGAUCCGGUGGUCCCGCGUGGAAGGGCCAUCGCUCAACGGAUAAAAGGUACGCCGGGGAUAACAGGCUGAU